RNAcentral lists this unclassified non-coding RNA (219 nucleotides) under plant metagenome. RNAcentral's name for it is "partial contains small subunit ribosomal RNA and internal transcribed spacer 1". The stretch from base 1 to 47 matches the Rfam family "Eukaryotic small subunit ribosomal RNA", at positions 1785 to 1831 of the family's 1831-position model. The record is from RNAcentral.
AAAGUCGUAACAAGGUCUCCGUAGGUGAACCUGCGGAGGGUCCAAUUAAUCGAGAAGCGUUGCCCUAACGGGGUAGAUCUCCCACCCUUUGCUAACCAAACAUUGUUGCUUUGUCUGGCCCGACCCUCGGGUCCGCCGGCCUUCGGGCUGGUCAGCGCCGGACAGAGGAAAACUAAAACCUUUAUCACUGUCGUCAGAGUACUAUAUAAUAGUUAAAAC